ACAAUAUGUAGCUCUACCUGUCAGUGUCAAGAUGGCUACUAUGAUACAGAUGGUACUGGAAAUAUUGGAGGACAGUGUAGUGCAAAGAAAGACCUAGGAGAAACAUGUACGGAUGUCUCCCAAUGUAGUGACACAAAUACGAUAUGUAGCUCUACCUGUCAGUGUAAAGUUGGCUACUAUGAUACAGAUGGUACUGGAAAUAUUGGAGGACAGUGUAGUGCAAAGAAAGACCUAGGAGAAACAUGUACGGAUGCCUCCCAAUGUAGUGACACAAAUACGAUAUGUAGCUCUACCUGUCAGUGUAAAGUUGGCUACUAUGAUACAGAUGGUACUGGAAAUAUUGGAGGACAGUGUAGUGCAAAGAAAGACCUAGGAGAAACAUGUACGGAUGCCUCCCAAUGUAGUGACACAAAUACGAUAUGUAGCUCUACCUGUCAGUGUAAAGUUGGCUAUUAUGAUACAGAUGGUACUGGAAAUAUUGGAGGACAGUGUA
This is a long non-coding RNA of Mercenaria mercenaria, 493 nucleotides long. RefSeq lists it as uncharacterized. The transcript has 4 exons. The record is from RefSeq and is a predicted model, not a curated record. Lineage: Eukaryota; Metazoa; Mollusca; Bivalvia; Venerida; Veneridae.